Molecule: ribosomal RNA, 412 nt
Filed under: uncultured microorganism
Description: bacterial SSU rRNA
Rfam family: Bacterial small subunit ribosomal RNA
Source: RNAcentral
GAGUUUGAUCGUGGCUCAGAUUGAACGCUGGCGGCAUGCCUUACACAUGCAAGUCGAACGGCAGCAUGAUCUAGCUUGCUAGAUUGGUGGCGAGUGGCGAACGGGUGAGUAAUACAUCGGAACGUGCCCUGUAGUGGGGGAUAACUAGUCGAAAGAUUAGCUAAUACCGCAUACGACCUGAGGGUGAAAGUGGGGGACCGCAAGGCCUCAUGCUAUAGGAGCGGCCGAUGUCUGAUUAGCUAGUUGGUGGGGUAAAGGCCCACCAAGGCGACGAUCAGUAGCUGGUCUGAGAGGACGAUCAGCCACACUGGGACUGAGACACGGCCCAGACUCCUACGGGAGGCAGCAGUGGGGAAUUUUGGACAAUGGGCGAAAGCCUGAUCCAGCAAUGCCGCGUGUGUGAAGAAGGCCU